AUUGAACGCUGGCGGCAGGCCUAACACAUGCAAGUCGAGCGGAUGAAGGGAGCUUGCUCCUGGAUUCAUCGGCGGACGGGUGAGUAAUGCCUAGGAAUCUGCCUGGUAGUGGGGGAUAACGUCCGGAAACGGGCGCUAAUACCGCAUACGUCCUGAGGGAGAAAGUGGGGGAUCUUCGGACCUCACGCUAUCAGAUGAGCCUAUGUCGGAUUAGCUAGUUGGUGGGGUAAAGGCCGACCAAGGCGACGAUCCGUAACUGGUCUGAGAGGGUGAUCAGUCACACUGGAACUGAGACACGGUCCAGACUCCUACGGGAGGCAGCAGUGGGGAAUAUUGGACAAUGGGCGAAAGCCUGAUCCAGCCAUGCCGCGUGUGUGAAGAAGGUCUUCGGAUUGUAAAGCACUUUAAGUUGGGAGGAAGGGCAGUAAGUUAAUACCUUGCUGUUUUGACGUUACCAACAGAAUAAGCGCCGGCUAACUUCGUG
Molecule: ribosomal RNA, 484 nt
Filed under: uncultured bacterium
Lineage: Bacteria
Description: partial 16S ribosomal RNA
Rfam family: Bacterial small subunit ribosomal RNA
Source: RNAcentral